Molecule: long non-coding RNA, 704 nt
Organism: Coffea arabica (coffee)
Lineage: Eukaryota; Viridiplantae; Streptophyta; Magnoliopsida; Gentianales; Rubiaceae
Source: RefSeq, a predicted model, not a curated record
AGAAGAAGAAGAAGAAGGAAACAGCACUCUCCUCUCUCUUUCUCUGAAUUUUCUCUUUUUCCUUUCUGCCAUAUUCUUUUAAGAAUCUAGAAAGAGAAAUAGAAGCAGCGGAGCGUCUUGAUUUCGCUGGAAACAUCUGGAUACAUUAUUCAAAGAGGAAUUGGAGUUGUUUUCAGAAGAAUUCUGUGGACUGGGAUUUGAGUUUCCUUAGAAAUCUCAUUUUUCUGUCUGAUCCUGAAGCUUUGGAGGAAUUUUUAAGUCGGAAGAUCAGUUUCUGGGUUGGUGAAGAUCGGAUUUGGAAUUCAGACGGAGGAUUAAAGCUCUGAUUUACUUGAAACAGUUCCUAAUUCUGAGGACUAAAGACGAUCAGAACCAUUGUUGGUUCUCGGUUGUUGAUAUGAGUUUUCAAAAUGAAAUCCAAGUGUAUAAAUACAAAUUCAGAUUUUGAGGCCGACUCGUGUGAUGUAUCAAAACUAAGGUCUUUCUGAUAGAGAUUCCAAAGUGAUUGCCAAGAUUUUCAUGAGCAACUUCUUUGAUUACAGAAUUUCAGCAUAAUUUUGAGCUAAUGUGAUUAUUUGGAUUCCCAAGCAAGAGUUUCAGAACAUUUGCUGGCAGUGGCGGAGUUAGGAAUUGCAAUUAGGGGGGAGUCUCUGUUAUUUGUCCAAAUAACUCUCAAACAUAUUAUUUGGGUCCUUAGGAGGGGA